This is a long non-coding RNA of Bombus huntii, 6837 nucleotides long. RefSeq lists it as uncharacterized. The record is from RefSeq and is a predicted model, not a curated record. The transcript is spliced from 3 exons. Lineage: Eukaryota; Metazoa; Arthropoda; Insecta; Hymenoptera; Apidae.
CUAAAACAACAGCACAAGAAAUUAGAAAGAUAAUCGGGAAAACAAAAAACAAUAAAGCACCAGGGAUCGACCUAACCAAUGGUAAAAUUUUAAAGAACCUUCCUCCAAAAGCGAUACGACUAAUCACAAUAAUUUAUAACGCAAUAUUAAGAAUCCAAUACUAUCCUAAACUAUAGAAACUAGCACAGAUCAUAAUGUUACCUAAACCAGGCAAAGACCCACACCAAACAACAUCUUAUAGACCAAUAUCACUACUUCCCGUGUUUUCCAAAGUACUAGAAAAAAUAAUUUACGCCCGCUUAAAACCAAUAAUAGAGAAGGAAAAAUUAAUACCUGAUCACCAAUUUGGAUUCAGAAACAAACACUCCACGAUAGAGCAAAUGCACAGACUUACAAAUGAAAUAAUUCUAGCAUUAGAAAACAAACAAUACUGCACAGCCCUCUUUAUGGACAUCGAGAAAGCAUUUGACAAAAUAAACCACGAAAGUCUACUUCAAUCAAUCAGAAAACAAUUCCCGGAGCAGAUAUACUAUUUAAUUAAAUCUUACUUAAGCAGCAGAACCUUCGUAGUAAAAAUUAAAGACACAUACUCUGAAGUUAAAGACAUCAAUGCAGGGGUUCCGCAAGGUAGCGUCUUAGGACCAAUUCUAUACACACUUUACACGGCCACAUACCAACAACUUCUAAUAGCAAGAUACUGACAUUCGCGGACGACACAGCGGUGCUAGUCAGGCACACUGACCCUGCAACAGCAGUCACAUCACUACAAGAACAUAUCACAAAAAUAGAAAAGUGGCUUCAAGUUAAACAAAUUAAAGCAAACCCCGAUAAAUGCAACCACAUUACAUUUACACUGCGAAAACAGGUACCUCCAAACAUUACACUGAACGGCACACACAUAAUACAAACAAGGCAAGUCAAAUUCCUAGGACUCCACUUAGAUACACGAUUCACAUGGAAACAGCGUAUUGAAUCUAUAAUAGACAAAAUACAAUUAGCAAGGAGACAAAUGUGUUGGUUAACAGGUCGAAAAUCCAAACUAAGCAUAGAAAACAAACAACAACAGUAAACGCCCCAUGGUACGUUAGAAACGAGGACAUACGGAAAGACCUUGGAAUACCAACGAUCAAGGAAGAGAUUAGCAGAUUCGCAAGAAGGUACAGAGAAAGAAUAGCAACGCACCCGAACCGGCUGGCAGCGGAAACGAUCAACACAACCAUAGAAAGGAGACUAAAAAGGAAACACCCAGCAGACCUCACAAUGGAUAUAUCUUAACAAACACGAAGAUGGUACCCCAUUGGGGGUAGCCACCCACAUGAUAAUCAAACAGAUAAAAAAUUCUACCAAAUGUCCAAAUUGGACAAAUUAUGAAUGUGAAAUUUUAAAUAAAAAAAAAAAAAAAUUAUAUGUACUUUCUGUAGGAUUUAAGGAAAUUUCAAGAGUUCUCGUUGCCAGAAAUUUAAGGUGAAUGGAUUUUGUAAUAUUCAGGCAAACUGACUCCCGAGUAAGAUAAAACUUCAUAAAUUCUUGCCUAUGUACCAAUUGCUUUGGUAAGUUUGUUUCUUUAUUCUCUUUUAAUUAUGGAAUGCAUUAUACCAUUUAAAGAAGGUCAUAAACUGCAUGUGUGCGUUAUCUUUUCUAUUCGUUAUUUAAAAUUGCAAAUGAAAAGAAUACGUUUCCUUUUUGUUUUGUUAUAUACACACUUGUAUCAAUGGGAUCAUAAUUCUUGGGAUCGUAAGAUACCAAUAUUCUGUCUUGAGUGAACCCAAAAAGAAAACAGUUUACCUCACGACGUUUAUGAGGUUGAAAUUCCAAAGGUACGUCUCUUUUAUCUUUUCUUGUGGUUCUUACAGCUGAGACCUUUGGAUUUUAACUCGUAAACAAGUUCGCUUAAUGUGCAAUUUAUAAAUAUUUACAUAGAACUGUCCGGUUAAUAAGGUUGUUUUCUUCCUGAAAGUACAAACUGGCACGGUCGAAUUACGAUUAAAUUCUUAGCUCGCGUGCUAACGUCGAAAUAUCUGCACACGCGAGGUUAUUGAAUAAUUUCUAUCGAAUUCAUUUUCUUUGAAGAUUCUUCACCGGUACAACAUUUUGGGACCGACAUUUAUAUUUGAUAAAAUAUUACCGAUGUUACCGUAUAGCAUGGCUAAGCGCAAAGCAAAGAUAACUUUUAUAUUAUCAUUGUCUGAAUUGUAUGUAUUGCGAGAAAGAUUAUUUAUUUCCAUUAUUACCUCUUUCCCUAACCAAUGUCUCAUUUUCUUUCAUAAAUACAAAUUUAAUAGAUCGGCAAUAAAAUGUUGACGAGGGUUCAGGUUUUGACCAUAGCACUUAAUUAUAUUCAUCUAAAAAGCAAAUACAAAUAAAAGCAAUUACAAACAAAAGUUCUGUUUCAGAUGAACUUUGUUUAAAGUGACUUGGAAUCCAGCUUUAACUGGUUCAAAACAUGCAUGGAUUAUACUCUUCGCUAUUCUUAGGACAUUUACAAAUUAUUAUGUCUGUCCUUCUCAAGUUAGAAAUUCCACUUUUUGUGAAAACGCUAUUGUAAUUACUCGAAAACAGUUUAUUUAACAUUAUUUGGCAUCCUUUAGCCUUGUGCCUAUUCGUUUCUAUACAUGACCAACAUAUUCUUUCUUUUAAACAACAAUAUCUUCAUAUGGAUUAAUAUCUUUAUGCGUUUCGCUAUCUCCAUCUCCAAUACAUGUACUAUAAUUGGCAUGAUGUUUUUUUCCUGAUCUCAUAAAUAUUUCUGUGAUGACAUCAAUUUCCACUUUAUUAGCACUGAUAUGGUUUAUAGUGCAAUUAUCUUUGUUGCCUUCAUACUAAUCAUUGUACUGUUCUGCGCCCGUUUUAUUUUCCCAUGCAACGUUGUAAGAUUGAUUUUACAAUUAUAUCAAGAUACUAGAUUUUACAAUUAUAUCAAGCACUUUCUUACUGUGUUUCCCGAGGAGUGUAGCAAGCCCGCACGAAGAAUUCAAUUCUCUCAUUUUCCUGGCGUUCUCUCUUCCGAAACGCUAACUUUUCUUCUGUCUUUUUCGGUAGCUCUCGAAAUUGGACGAUUAUAUACCCGUAAGACAACAGAAUGUAAAUUUUCCGGACAGCCAUAGUAUCUAUUGAUAGCCAAUCCCUGAAAAAUAUCCAUUAGGCCAUAAAAUAAAUUUAUCUUUCCCAUUCCGCUCUCUAAAAGUCGCCAACACAAUCCUGCGAUUUAUUUCAGAUGACUUGGUAUGGAUUGGCAUUGCUAAUUAGUGGAGAUGAAUUGAAAAAUUUCAUCCAAUACUCACACUUAAUUGCAAUUUUGGAACCUAAGCCGCGGUUUCUGGUUCUAGAAGAUUGAAUUUUUCUUUUGCAAUUCUUGCAAAUAACACUAGUUGCUAUCAUCGAAAAUGCAGCAACAAAGUUCAAGAUAUAUUAACUAAGAUCACUUGCGAACACUUCAUUGUUAUCUCUAUUUUACAAUUUUUUAGUUGAUACGCUUGUUAUUCGGUUCAGCAACGUGUAUCAUUCGAGGUACAGUUGAUGUACACGUAGAACGCCAUAUUAGACCUGAUGCAAUUUUCGUGAACCCAUCUGCUGCUAUAUACGCACUGCAGCUAGUUCUCAUCACGAACGCUAUCACUAUAAGGUUCAUUUCAUAUCAAGCAUUCUGUGCGAAGCAACAGUAAUGUGUAAUGUUGCCAAUAUUGAAUCGCUUCUUUAAUAGGAAGGCAUUCGAGAUAGAUUGCUUUCAUCUUUGAUUCUGUUUGGUUUCAGUUUUCUUGAGAAGUGCGCAACCGGGUGUAACAUACUGUUAUCUUGGGGUUGUUUUAAAACGGCUCCUAAACCAUCACCACUUGAAUCUGUAUAAAUGAAUAUUUCUUUGUUUUGCUCAUAUGUUGCUAGGACCGGACUUGAACAGAGAUAUUUCUUGAUCUUCUGAAAUGAUUUCUCAUAUUCUUCAUUGCAGAUGAAUUCGACAUUUUUCAUUAAUAAGUUAUGAAGUGGUUCUAGGAGUUUGUAGGCAUCUUCUAUAAAUUUAUAAUAAAAAUUAAUUUUCCCCAGUAAUUGUCUUAUAUUCUUUUUUGUUCUUUGGGCGUUCCAAUUCCAUUGUUUCUACAAUGAUUAAUAUAAAGAGAAUGUCCCGCGAAAGCGUACGUGAACACAUGCUCAGUGAAGUGCACUGACACCGAUUCUCUAAACUGAUAGAUUCGAACGGACUUGAAGUGACUUGACGACUAGCCAGAUAGAAAGGAGCGCGAUAUCAUCGUUCGACGCUCUCUUAGAGUAGGCCGAGAGACGACCAUGCAAUUUCAAAAACUCGUCGUUCUGUCGAUCACCCAAUGCAAUCACGUCCUGGUGACUUCAGCAGUGAGUGUUGGAGAAAGACGCCUUAUCAGUGCAUCGGUUGGCAAAACAAUUAAAAGACGCUUUACGAGAGAUCGAAACAUUCUGUUGAUGGUGUGCAUGAAUAUAUAGGCUCCAAGUCAGACGACAACGAUACGAACUACAAUAAACUAAGUCUAUGAAGGGAAGCUAAACGCUACGAUUAAAUUUUACAGAUAACUCACACUUCAUGGACAUAAUCGGAAUAAGUUGCGAUACGACGUAAGAGAUCAUAUAAUUAAUCUAAUGAGCAGUGCUAGUUAGUUAAACCAUCAGUCCUCAACAUUUAUGCAAAUUUCAUGUACUCAUCUAUGCCAUAUAAUACACUGAAUCCAUCUUUUUCUUAGAUUUCGGUGAUAUAACGAGUUCAUCACAAAAUAUACGAGCCCGAGCGAAGAAUUUUGCAUUUUUCAUUUUUCCACUGCUACAUUUUCCUCAUCUCUGCUAAGUGCGCUCCUGGUUUUGAAAGAUUUCUUUCAUUCGGUCUUUUUUUCCAGCCUGAGUAAUUUCUUGUUCGACCUGGCUUUUGCAUUGUUCCGAGAUGAUUGUUACAGUGUUCCCUGUUUUCUUUGCUUUUCUCUUUACUCUUUCCUUUGCUUGACAGAUAGAUUUGAUUAUUUUGGGGGAAAAUAUAAGUGCUGAAGGCUUUGCAUCCUUAGACGUCACUGAUAGCGUUCCUACGUCCUUAGAUGUGAAUAGUAGCGUUUCUAUGUCUUAUAAUAAUAGGGCUUACUACACAAUAUUGAUCGCAUGUUGGUCUGUUGGAUCCUCUUGUAUUAUUCUUUUAUUUUGUUAUUGCUUAGUCCUUGCCUUUCGGCUUUGAACGUACUUUUGGUUUUACAUCUCUUACAUCUCUUUUCCACUCUAUUCUAUUGCACUACCUUGCUUAUUUUACCUCUAAAAACUAAAACUAGAAACUACAAAUUAGCAACUAAUGACUAAAAAACUAUUGCAACUUUGGUCUUUAGCCUCCUUGCUGUGCAUCCUUCCUGUCGUUUGCCCUUCUCUUCUCUAUUAUUGCCUUUAGUUCUGUUAAACCUUCUCCAGUCUCAUUUAGCGUUUUUCCUAUGUUCUUUGGUCCUCCCGUUAUUUCACAUUCUUCUAUUACAUACCUCAGGUCUUCUUUCCUUCUACAUAGUCUGCAUCUUUUUUCUCCCUCUUCUUUCCGAUAUUCCUUUGCUUUAGUCUCGUUUCCGCAUCUGAAUUUGUCAGUAUUUUUCUGUCCUUUCACUUCAUCCUUCCUUCUAAGUACUUUGGUAAUUUUUCUUUGGCUAUGUUUCUGUAGUGUAUAUUAUACUUGGAUUCCUUUAUCCUUUCCCCCCUCUCUUCUGCUUCUUCCUUUCUUCUUUCUUCUAUAAUUUGGUUUGCUGUCAUCCUUUCUUGCUCCUCUCCUGCUUCUAUCUGCGUCCUUCCUCUUCUCACAUCUUCUAGUCCCUUCUUUCUCUUUCUUGUUCUUUUCCCUUCAUGGCCAUGAGGUAGGAUGUCGUGAUAGGUGCGGAAGGAAUACUCAGAUGUAUUCAACAAUAAAUAUUUAUUAACAGUAAUAUUCGAUGAGUACACUUGUACUAAUCCCCAUUUUCCUCAUUUUCUCCUCCAGUUUCUCUCUGUUUAGUCUGUCGAACGCCGCUCUUAGGUUCGCAAAGCAGGUUGCCACUAGAUGGCCAAUUAUGUUAGUACGAACUAAUUUUUUGCGAAUAUAAUAUACUCAAUGUAACAUGUACGUACACUCAAGAAAUAGAAUUCAAUUAGAGACCAGCUAAGGAUGGGGACAAAGAUGAGGAUUGUGCGAAUUUUUAUGGCGACGUCAACUCAUUGGACGAUAUAAUGGACAUAAGCCCAUUUGGCGCCAAAGAGAAAUGUAAAAUACUCUGAAGAUGCUUUGCUUUGCAUAGUCAUAUGGUAUGAAUCAUUGGAUUCCGUAAUUUCAAACUUGGAUUUGUGGAUUCUACACAUUGAAAACUACAAGAUUGCAGAUAAAAAAGACAAUGAUUUUUAGUUCCCUACAGUAAAGUUCAACCCCAUUUUUUAAUACAAUUGCCAGUUUUAAUGCAUAACUGACAGAACAAGAACACUACUUUGGAGUAUGUUGCUAUAAACAAUAUAUUAAACUUUAAUAUUAUAUCCCAAAUAAAAUGUUUAACUCAGUAAUGAAAAAUAUAUAAAAUAGCACAAUAUUGAUCGAAGGGCUGCUCUGAAAAGAUAUAGGUUUGCUUUAUCUCUAAGAGUCCAGGAUUGCACGUUAUUAUUUUGUGAUAGACACUCUUGAGUUUGCAAUCCUUCAAUCAUCCGCCUAUAAAAACUGUACAAUAACGAUUAUUCUAUUUCCUAAAAUAAUAUCAAUUACUCAUUCACUUAUUAUUUUUAUAGUACAUUACGCAUGCUAUUUUUAUAAUUAAUUUGUUAUUACUUCACGCAACCGUUUGCGCCCACCUUGCAGCGGUCGGUGAGAACUCUAACCCACACUUAAAUAAUAAUACC